RNAcentral lists this non-coding RNA (29 nucleotides) under Mus musculus (house mouse). Lineage: Eukaryota; Metazoa; Chordata; Mammalia; Rodentia; Muridae. The record is from RNAcentral.
UAAAAAGGUCACUGAGAAUCUCUUACCUC